UAAUUGAAGCCAAAAAGAGGC
Molecule: transfer RNA, 21 nt
Filed under: Drosophila immigrans
Lineage: Eukaryota; Metazoa; Arthropoda; Insecta; Diptera; Drosophilidae
Description: tRNA-Asn
Source: RNAcentral